This 326-nucleotide ribosomal RNA is filed under the name uncultured eukaryote. Its description in RNAcentral is "partial 18S ribosomal RNA". It matches the Rfam family "Eukaryotic small subunit ribosomal RNA", at positions 1470 to 1796 of the family's 1831-position model. The record is from RNAcentral.
CCCUUAGAUGUUCUGGGCUGCACGCGCGCUACACUGAUGCACUCAACGAGUUUACGAGCUUGUCCGAGAGGAUUGGCUAAUCUUUUUAAAAUGCAUCGUGAUGGGGAUAGAUUAUUGCAAUUAUUAAUCUUCAACGAGGAAUUCCUAGUAAGCGCGAGUCAUCAGCUCGUGCUGAUUACGUCCCUGCCCUUUGUACACACCGCCCGUCGCUCCUACCGAUUGAGUGCUCAGGUGAAUAAUUCGGACUGCAGCAGUGUUUGGAUCCCGAACGCUGCAGCGGAAAGUUUAGUGAACCUUNUNACUUAANGGAAGGAGAANUCGUANCA